Molecule: ribosomal RNA, 497 nt
Filed under: uncultured bacterium
Lineage: Bacteria
Description: partial 16S ribosomal RNA
Rfam family: Bacterial small subunit ribosomal RNA
Source: RNAcentral
GAUGAACGCUGGCGGCGUGCCUAAUACAUGCAAGUCGAGCGAACAGAUAAGGAGCUUGCUCCUUUGACGUUAGCGGCGGACGGGUGAGUAACACGUGGGUAACCUACCUAUAAGACUGGGAUAACUUCGGGAAACCGGAGCUAAUACCGGAUAACAUUUGGAACCGCAUGGUUCUAAAGUGAAAGAUGGUUUUGCUAUCACUUAUAGAUGGACCCGCGCCGUAUUAGCUAGUUGGUAAGGUAACGGCUUACCAAGGCAACGAUACGUAGCCGACCUGAGAGGGUGAUCGGCCACACUGGAACUGAGACACGGUCCAGACUCCUACGGGAGGCAGCAGUAGGGAAUCUUCCGCAAUGGGCGAAAGCCUGACGGAGCAACGCCGCGUGAGCGAUGAAGGGUUUCGGCUCGUAAAACUCUGUUAUUAGGGAAGAACAAAUGUGUAAGUAACUGUGCACGUCUUGACGGUACCUAAUCAGAAAGCCACGGCUAACUACGUG